This 450-nucleotide ribosomal RNA is filed under the name uncultured bacterium. RNAcentral describes it as "partial 16S ribosomal RNA". It matches the Rfam family "Bacterial small subunit ribosomal RNA", at positions 354 to 796 of the family's 1533-position model. The record is from RNAcentral.
GUGGGGAAUAUUGGACAAUGGGCGAAAGCCUGAUCCAGCCAUGCCGCGUGUGUGAAGAAGGUCUUCGGAUUGUAAAGCACUUUAAGUUGGGAGGAAGUGUAGUAACCUAAUACGUUGCUACUUUGACGUUACCGACAGAAUAAGCACCGGCUAACUCUGUGCCAGCAGCCGCGGUAAUACAGAGGGUGCAAGCGUUAAUCGGAAUUACUGGGCGUAAAGCGCGCGUAGGUGGUUCGUUAAGUUGGAUGUGAAAUCCCCGGGCUCAACCUGGGAACUGCAGCCAAAACUGGCAAGCUAGAGUAGGGCAGAGGGUGGUGGAAUUUCCUGUGUAGCGGUGAAAUGCGUAGAUAUAGGAAGGAACACCAGUGGCGAAGGCGACCACCUGGGCUCAUACUGACACUGAGGUGCGAAAGCGUGGGGAGCAAACAGGAUUAGAUACCCCAGUAGUCC